RNAcentral lists this ribosomal RNA (250 nucleotides) under uncultured bacterium. Its description in RNAcentral is "partial 16S ribosomal RNA". It matches the Rfam family "Bacterial small subunit ribosomal RNA", at positions 524 to 773 of the family's 1533-position model. The record is from RNAcentral.
UACGGAGGGAGCGAGCGUUGUUCGGAAUUACUGGGCGUAAAGCGUAUGUAGGCGGCUUUGUAAGUCAGGUGUGAAAUCCCAGAGCUUAACUUUGGAACUGCAUUUGAGACUGCAAGGCUUGAGUAUCGGAGAGGUUGACAGAAUUCCUAGUGUAGAGGUGAAAUUCGCAGAUAUUAGGAGGAAUACCGAUGGCGCAAGCAGUCAACUGGACGAUUACUGACGCUGAGAUACGAAAGCGUGGGGAGCAAAC